RNAcentral lists this ribosomal RNA (442 nucleotides) under uncultured bacterium. RNAcentral's name for it is "partial 16S ribosomal RNA". It matches the Rfam family "Bacterial small subunit ribosomal RNA", at positions 339 to 795 of the family's 1533-position model. The record is from RNAcentral.
CUACGGGUUGCUCCAGUCGAGAAUUUUUCACAAUGGGGGAAACCCUGAUGGAGCGACGCCGCGUGGAGGAUGAAGGUUUUCGGAUUGUAAACUCCUGUCAAAUGGGAACAAGAAAGUGAUAGUACCAUUAGAGGAAGAGACGGCUAACUCUGUGCCAGCAGCCGCGGUAAUACAGAGGUCUCAAGCGUUGUUCGGAUUCAUUGGGCGUAAAGGGUGCGCAGGCUGUGGGGUAAGUCGGAUGUGAAAUUUAGGGGCUCAACCUCUAAACUGCAUUCGAUACUGCUCCGCUAGAGGUAUGUAGAGGAGAUUGGAAUUCACGGUGUAGCAGUGAAAUGCGUAGAUAUCGUGAGGAAGACCAGUGGCGAAGGCGAAUCUCUGGGCAUUACCUGACGCUCAUGCACGAAGGCCAGGGGAGCAAACGGGAUUAGAUACCCCCGUAGUC